CCAUCUGUAAAGUUUACUCCUCUUUUAUAUUUUUUAUAUAAAGAAUUUCUUUUGUCUCUUUCAUUUUUUAAAGAAUUUUCUAUUUCUGAAAUUUUUUGUAAUCUAUAGUUUUGUCCAUCUUCUAUAGGUAAUUCUGGAUAUAAAUCAGGAGCUGUAGGUUGUUUCAUUUUUAAAAGUAAAAAUUGAUUUUUUUUUUUCUCUUAAAUCCCACAGAAUUCUUUCUCUGCCUGUUAUCCCGGUUUUUUUUUUGGGAGUAAGAAAAUUUGGUGUUUUUUGGGGUGUUUUUUUGCUUUUUUUUUUAUGAAAAUUUAGGGCUCUUUUACUUGAAAUGAGGGUAAUUUUUUGGGGGUCAAAUUUUUUUUUUUUUGGAGGGGGGCGCUGGAGUCGUUCAAGUACUAUACUACUCCCCUUAGGGGAAAAAAUGAGUUUUAUAAAAAACCCCAGGAUUAAGGUUUUGGUGUGCUCUUUACAAAAAAUUUUUU
Molecule: long non-coding RNA, 482 nt
Filed under: Mytilus galloprovincialis (Mediterranean mussel)
Lineage: Eukaryota; Metazoa; Mollusca; Bivalvia; Mytilida; Mytilidae
Source: RNAcentral